CUCCCGGAGGCUGACACAUGGGGUGUGGCGCCAGCAGGCUGUGGACCAGCCCAGUGAUCCAAGGCAAACACGGUCAGCUUCCUGGGGACCAGCCCAACGAGUCCCCACACCUUCCUGGGCAUCACCCAGGGGCCAGCCAAAGGUGCUGAAAUGGCAGGUCCUGUUGCUGCAACGUGCUCGGGGACCUGGAGCUUCCCCGUGCCGCAGCCCGCAUCUGCGGAGUUGGCAAAGCGUCCCUCCACUCUGUGACACGGCCCUGGGCACGCACCGACCCCAGCUCACUGAUGGAGGCUCGGAGGCCCUCGCUGAGGCUCGCUGCUGCCGUGUGACGUUGCAGGGACUGGGUCCCAGGAGGGUUGACCGCACUGCUUUUCAUCGAGACCAUCACUUUGGAAAAACGCAUCUCCUUGGGUCUAUCACUCCUUCUUCUGGACUCCAUUCCUGGCUCUGACUGUGGGGACCCGGGAAGAGCUCGCAGAAUCGUGGGAGCAGACGAAUGGUGCUGUGAGAUUCAGAAGUGAAGACGUUUAAACCGGGUUUGGGGGAGUAAAGGGGGGAAUUCCCAAGCAAAGGAGGAAAAUGCUCCAGACAGAAUUCAAGGUACAGACAAUCUGGAAACUCCAGCAGGUAAUAAACGGGAGGAAACAACGUUGCUCUCAUCUCGCACGCGGUGCAAGUGUUUAUCACCGCAACAUUCUGUUCUAGGCAUGGAUGGAUAGGCGGAUAUUUUACAAAAGGAAUAACUGGAGUUUUUAACGUAACAUCAGUAAUUCUUUAUGAUUCUGGGGGCACCUGGGUGGCUCAGUGGGUUAAAGCCUCUGCCUUCGGCUCAGGUCAUGAUCCCAGCAUCCUGGGAUGGAGGCCCACCUUGGGUUCUCUGCUCGGCCAGAAGCCUGCUUCCCCCUUUCUCUCUGCCUGCCUCUCUGCCUACUUGUGAUCUCUGUUUGUCAAAUAAAUAAA
Mustela lutreola (European mink) is the source of this 960-nucleotide long non-coding RNA. RefSeq lists it as uncharacterized. Lineage: Eukaryota; Metazoa; Chordata; Mammalia; Carnivora; Mustelidae. The transcript has 4 exons. The record is from RefSeq and is a predicted model, not a curated record.